RNAcentral lists this ribosomal RNA (492 nucleotides) under uncultured bacterium. RNAcentral's name for it is "partial 16S ribosomal RNA". It matches the Rfam family "Bacterial small subunit ribosomal RNA", at positions 29 to 507 of the family's 1533-position model. The record is from RNAcentral.
AGUGAACGCUGGCGGUAGGCCUAACACAUGCAAGUCGAACGGCAGCACAGUAAGAGCUUGCUCUUACGGGUGGCGAGUGGCGGACGGGUGAGGAAUAAAUCGGAAUCUACUUUUUCGUGGGGGAUAACGUAGGGAAACUUACGCUAAUACCGCAUACGACCUACGGGUGAAAGCAGGGGAUCUUCGGACCUUGCGCGAUUGAAUGAGCUGAUGUCGGAUUAGCUAGUUGGCGGGGUAAAGGCCCACCAAGGCGACGAUCCGUAGCUGGUCUGAGAGGAUGAUCAGCCACACUGGAACUGAGACACGGUCCAGACUCCUACGGGAGGCAGCAGUGGGGAAUAUUGGACAAUGGGCGCAAGCCUGAUCCAGCCAUACCGCGUGGGCGAAGAAGGCCUUCGGGUUGUAAAGCCCUUUUGUUGGGAAAGAAAAGCAGCAGGUUAAUACCCCGCUGUUCUGACGGUACCCAAAGAAUAAGCACCGGCUAACUUCGUG